This 376-nucleotide ribosomal RNA is filed under the name uncultured eukaryote. RNAcentral describes it as "SSU rRNA". It matches the Rfam family "Eukaryotic small subunit ribosomal RNA", at positions 587 to 972 of the family's 1831-position model. The record is from RNAcentral.
AGCUCUGUAAGCGUAUACCAAAGUUGUUGCAGUUAAAACGCUCGUAGUCGAAUUUUGGCGGGCGAUGCAGGACGUCCGCGAGGAUGAUUUUGUGUUGGCCGCCUUUGUGGAUGGGGGGUCAGUGGUGCUUUAUUGGAUCGCUGAUUCGCCGCCACCGUUUACUGUGAAAAAAUUAGAGUGUUCAAAGCGGGCGAUUGCCAUGAAUAGAUUAGCAUGGAAUAAUAGAAUAGGACCUGGUCUUAUUUUGUUGGUUUGUUGAAAUCAGGUAAUGAUUAAGAGGGACGGUUGGGGGCAUUUGUAUUCCGGGGUUAGAGGUGAAAUUCUUGGAUCCUCGGAAGACAAACAGCUGCGAAAGCGUCUGCCAAGGACGUUUUCA